UACGUAGGUGGCAAGCGUUGUCCGGAUUUAUUGGGCGUAAAGCGGGCGCAGGCGGAUCCUUAAGUCUGAUGUGAAAGCCCCCGGCUCAACCGGGGAAGGGCAUUGGAAACUGGGGAACUUGAGUGCAGAAGAGGAGAGUAGAAUUCCAUGUGUAGCGGUGAAAUGCGUAGAUAUAUGGAGGAACACCAAUGGCGAAGGCGACUCUCUGGCCUGUAACUGACGCUGAGGCGCGAAAGCGUGGGGAGCAAACAGG
Molecule: ribosomal RNA, 253 nt
Filed under: uncultured bacterium
Lineage: Bacteria
Description: partial 16S ribosomal RNA
Rfam family: Bacterial small subunit ribosomal RNA
Source: RNAcentral